UCCGGCUUACACCGGCUGUCACCUGCAUGUCAAGCCUAGGUAAGGUUCUUCGCGUUGCUUCGAAUUAAACCACAUGCUCCACCGCUUGUGCGGGCCCCCGUCAAUUCCUUUGAGUUUCAGCCUUGCGGCCGUACUCCCCAGGCGGGGUACUUCCUGCGUUAGCGCCGGCACCCAAGGGGUCGCUCCCCCAGGCACCUAGUACCCAUCGUUUACGGCGUGGACUAC
This 225-nucleotide unclassified non-coding RNA is filed under the name uncultured Gemmatimonadaceae bacterium. RNAcentral describes it as "contains 16S-23S intergenic spacer region". Lineage: Bacteria; Pseudomonadati; Gemmatimonadota; Gemmatimonadia; Gemmatimonadales; Gemmatimonadaceae. The record is from RNAcentral.